UACAGAGGUCUCAAGCGUUGUUCGGAUUCAUUGGGCGUAAAGGGUGCGUAGGUGGCGGGGCAAGUCAGGUGUGAAAUCUCGGAGCUCAACUCCGAAACUGCACUUGAUACUGCCUUGCUGGAGUACUGGAGAGGAGAUUGGAAUUUACGGUGUAGCAGUGAAAUGCGCAGAUAUCGGGAGGAACACCAGUAGCGAAGGCGGCACUCUGGGCCGGUACUGACGCUGAGGAGCGAAAGCGUGGGGAGCAAACAGG
RNAcentral lists this ribosomal RNA (253 nucleotides) under uncultured bacterium. RNAcentral's name for it is "partial 16S ribosomal RNA". It matches the Rfam family "Bacterial small subunit ribosomal RNA", at positions 524 to 776 of the family's 1533-position model. The record is from RNAcentral.